AGCUAGGCUUUUUUAAAAGCCAAUAACAUUUCGAACUACUAUUUG
Phaethon lepturus (White-tailed tropicbird) is the source of this 45-nucleotide non-coding RNA. Lineage: Eukaryota; Metazoa; Chordata; Aves; Phaethontiformes; Phaethontidae. The record is from Rfam.